UUUCUUAAGUCUGAUGUGAAAGCCCCCGGCUCAACCGGGGAGGGUCAUUGGAAACUGGGAAACUUGAGUGCAGAAGAGGAGAGUGGAAUUCCACGUGUAGCGGUGAAAUGCGUAGAGAUGUGGAGGAACACCAGUGGCGAAGGCGACUCUCUGGUCUGUAACUGACGCUGAGGAGCGAAAGCGUGGGGAGCGAACAGGAUUAGAUACCCUGGUAGUCCACGCCGUAAACGAUGAGUGCUAAGUGUUAGGGGGUUUCCGCCCCUUAGUGCUGCAGCUAACGCAUUAAGCACUCCGCCUGGGGAGUACGGUCGCAAGACUGAAACUCAAAGGAAUUGACGGGGGCCCGCACAAGCGGUGGAGCAUGUGGUUUAAUUCGAAGCAACGCGAAGAACCUUACCAGGUCUUGACAUCCUCUGACAACCCUAGAGAUAGGGCUUUCCCUUCGGGGACAGAGUGACAGGUGGUGCAUGGUUGUCGUCAGCUCGUGUCGUGAGAUGUUGGGUUAAGUCCCGCAACGAGCGCAACCCUUGAUCUUAGUUGCCAGCAUUCAGUUGGGCACUCUAAGGUGACUGCCGGUGACAAACCGGAGGAAGGUGGGGAUGACGUCAAAUCAUCAUGCCCCUUAUGACCUGGGCUACACACGUGCUACAAUGGACAGAACAAAGGGCUGCAAGACCGCAAGGUUUAGCCAAUCCCAUAAAUCUGUUCUCAGUUCGGAUCGCAGUCUGCAACUCGACUGCGUGAAGCUGGAAUCGCUAGUAAUCGCGGAUCAGCAUGCCGCGGGUGAAUACGUUUCCCCCGGGCUGUUU
Molecule: ribosomal RNA, 809 nt
Filed under: Bacillus pumilus
Lineage: Bacteria; Bacillati; Bacillota; Bacilli; Caryophanales; Bacillaceae
Description: bacterial SSU rRNA
Rfam family: Bacterial small subunit ribosomal RNA
Source: RNAcentral